UCCGUCUCCACUAAAAACACAAAAAAAUUAGCGGGGCAUGGUGGCACAUGCCUGUAAUCCCAGCUCCUCAGGAGGCUGAGGCAGGAGAAUUGCUGGAACCCAGGAGGAGAAGGUUGCAGUGAGCUGAGAUUGCUCCACUGCACUUCAGCCUGGGUGACAGAGCAAGACUCCAUCUCAAAAAAAAAAUAAUAAUAAAUAAACCCUAAAAGAAAGACAGAGGACCUUAACUGCAGAUAAUACUCUAUUGUUACCCUGUGGCUAUAAAUCUUCUGCAUUGCCUGUCCUCCCAGAUGUUCUGUUAAUCGCUGUAGUAGCUGACAGUUUUGUAUUUAAGCGGUCAGAACAAUGAGUGCUUCUGCUUGAUUCCAGAUUCUCCAAGCUUCCCAUGGAGCCACACCACCUCCUGUCUUGGCACUUCAUGAGUCCAAUGCUGCUUCCCGAGAAGAUCUGGUUGGUAGAUCAUCACCUUGAUUCCUGCCUCUAAGCCUCACCUUUUUCUCAUCAGCCACCACGUUUUUGGCACUAGAACAGUGCUUUUUAUAAUGCACUCAUCAGUGGAUGCUGAAAUCGCAACCUGGCCAUUUGGAUGUUCAACUAAUGCUUUGUGCUGCGGAGUCCCUGCAACUCACCAACCCAUGCUGGAACUCACUGGAGCUCAGGCUGACAGCAGAGGUGGAAGUGGAGAGAGUAUUUAUGCAGCAAGACAUCCAGCCCCGGCUUCAGAUGCUCCACUCCAGCCCUCUGAGAAGACACUGGAAACUGAGGCAGAAUCGGGUGAUCCACUGCUGAAUGUGCCCAGUGGUCAUGCCUGGCGGGCCCAAGUCUAAAGCUGCUAUUUGUACCCUGACUGGAGUGCAGUGGUGCGAUAUCGACUCACUGCAGCCUCCACCUUCCAGAUUCAAGCAAUUCACAUGGCUCAGCCUCCUGAGAAGCUGGGCCUACAGACGUGCAGCACCACGCCCAGGUAAGUUUUGUAUUUUUGGUAGCGACAAAGUUUCACCUUCUUGGCCAGCCUGGUCCCAAAUUCCUGACUUCAUGUGAUCCUCCUGCCUCACCUCCCAACCUUUGUAUACUUUUUGAAGUCAUUGAUCUGCUUGAAAAGGGGAUAGAAGUUUUAAAUCUUCUCCCCAGGAUCAAGGAGACAGACACAAAACUUCAACACAAUGACAAGGGCUUCAAGUGACUAAGUUCUAUCCAGGUACCCUUGGGUAAGAACCCUUGAAAAGCACCUACUAAGAUGAAAAUGAGCCUGGACAACAUAGUAAGACCCAUCUCCACAAAAAAGAAAAAAAUGGAAGGGCAUGGUGGCACAGGCCUUAC
This is a long non-coding RNA of Aotus nancymaae (Ma's night monkey), 1320 nucleotides long. Lineage: Eukaryota; Metazoa; Chordata; Mammalia; Primates; Aotidae. The record is from Ensembl.